Molecule: long non-coding RNA, 796 nt
Organism: Saccostrea cuccullata (small rock oyster)
Lineage: Eukaryota; Metazoa; Mollusca; Bivalvia; Ostreida; Ostreidae
Exons: 2
Source: RefSeq, a predicted model, not a curated record
UUCAUGAACCAAACCGAUUUGUGUUUCCGGAACCAAGGUCUGACCUAUGUCUAACUCAGAAACUCUUCGUUGUGACCAGUAACAUGUUUUGUUAAUCAGAUAACAUUGAAUUUGAAUUAUACGGACGCUUUUAGCUUUGAGAUACAAGUGAACAGUUACGAUGAAUCCCUUAUCCUCUUUUCUGAGAACAGCCCGAGUUCUUCUGCCUAGCGUGCUACAAACCAACAAUAUUAGCAGAUGCUUCUCCAUUGUGUACCAGAAAUGUUCUCUCAGUUCAUUCACAACACAGUUUACUUCCUCACGACAGUUAUUAAUGCCAUCCAUCAUUAACCUAGAGCAAACAAGAGCAUAUCAACCAAGAGGUGUUCCAAAGUUAAGAUGCAGACAUUGCUAUUUUGUUACCAGACAUGGUCAACUGUUUGUUGAAUGUUCUAGUAAAAAGAGACAUAGGCAGUUUCAAAUUAUUGGGAAAAGUCGCCGGUUUAAGGAUGAUCUAACUGAAGGGAAGUAUAAGAAUUUUGUUUACCAGGAUUAUAAACACAGGAGAUUUUAUAGGCUCGGAGAAUCAAGAUGGACAAAGAGUGAUCUAGUUGGUGACAGAAUUGGAAAUGACUUGUAAAAUCAUAUGAAAAAAAAAAAAUUAAUGUACAAUAAAAUCAAUUGAAAUAAUUUCUUAAUUUAAUGUGAAAGAAUUCAGGUCUCUCGAUUUUCGUUGGUUUAUUGCUUGAGGUACAAUGAUUUAUUCCAUAUUUUAUCUAUCUUGUCUGCACAUCAUUAAAUAAAAGGUUUCAAAAUA